UACGUAGGGGGCGAGCGUUGUCCGGAGUUACUGGGCGUAAAGGGCAUGCAGGCGGUCGGACGCGUUUCGGGUGACAGCGGGUGGCUUAACUACCCGAGUGGUCGAAAGACGGUUUGACUUGAGGACGCGAGAGGGACACGGAAUUCCGGGGUGGAGUGGGUGAAAUGCGUAGAGAUCCGGAGGAACACCGAAGGCGAAGGCAGUGUCCUGGCGCGUAACUGACGCUGAGGUGCGAAAGCCAGGGGAGCGAACGGG
RNAcentral lists this ribosomal RNA (255 nucleotides) under uncultured bacterium. Its description in RNAcentral is "partial 16S ribosomal RNA". It matches the Rfam family "Bacterial small subunit ribosomal RNA", at positions 524 to 776 of the family's 1533-position model. The record is from RNAcentral.